This is a non-coding RNA of Ciona intestinalis (vase tunicate), 288 nucleotides long. The record is from RefSeq and is a predicted model, not a curated record. NCBI's taxonomy places the organism in Eukaryota, Metazoa, Chordata, Ascidiacea, Phlebobranchia, Cionidae.
AGAUGAAUAAGUCAGCACUAUUAUUUCUUCUUAUCGGACUUCUCUUCCUCACAAAUCCCAGCAACGGCGUAAAUAAUUGGCGUCGUCGACGGAGAUGGGUUUGGGACAUGAAAAGCGAAAUGCAGGAUCUUAAAGAUUCCGAAGGUGAAAAAUACUGGAGUGACAAACUCGCUGAUCGCGUGAUGGGAAACGUUGAAUGAACAAGAUGAUGGCCAAAGGUUGAAUAAUUAAUAAACGUGACUCACAUGAACGUUUUAAUAUCAAUCAGAAAUAAAUUCAACCACGGCA